AUAGUGGCAGAAGGGUGAGUAACACGUGGGUAACCUACCCCCGAGUCGGGGAUAACCCGCCGAAAGGCGGGCUAAUACCCGAUGACAUUUCCGGAUCGCAUGAUCUGGCAAUCAAAGAUGCCCGCAAGGGUGUCGCUUGAGGAGGGGCCCGCGGCCUAUCAGCUAGUUGGUGAGGUAACGGCUCACCAAGGCUUUUGACGGGUAGCUGGUCUAAGAGGACGGCCAGCCACAUUGGGACUGAGACACUGCCCAGACUCCUACGGGAGGCUGCAGUCGAGGAUCUUUAGCAAUGCCCGAAAGGGUGACUAUGCGACGCCGCGUGCAGGAUGAAGGCCUUCGGGUUGUAAACUGCUGUCAGGGGGGAAGAAACCUCAUGCGUUAAUAGCGCGUGAGCUGACAUCACCCCCAAAGGAAGCCACGGCUAACUCUGUGCCAGCAGCCGCGGUAAGACAGAGGUGGCAAGCGUUGUUCGGAUUCAUUGGGUGUAAAGGGCAGGUAGGUGGUUAUGCAAGUCUGGUGUGAAAUCCCAUGGCUCAACCAUGGAACUGCAUUGGAAACUGCAUGACUUGAGUACUGGAGAGGUGAGGGGAAUUCUCGGUGUAAGGGUGAAAUCUGUAGAUAUCGAGAGGAACACCAGUGGCGAAGGCGCCUCACUGGCCGGUUACUGACACUGAGCUGCGAAAGCAAGGGGAGCAAACAGGAUUAGAUACCCUGGUAGUCCUUGCCGUAAACGAUGUGGAUUAGGUGUCGGAGGUGUCGAUCCCUCCGGUGCCGACGUUAACACAUUAAAUCCACCACCUGGGGGAGUACGGUCGCAAGACUGAAACUCAAAGAAAUUGACGGGGGACCCGCACAAGCGGUGGAGCAUGUGGUUUAAUUUCGAGGCUACGCGA
This 893-nucleotide ribosomal RNA is filed under the name uncultured bacterium. Its description in RNAcentral is "bacterial SSU rRNA". It matches the Rfam family "Bacterial small subunit ribosomal RNA", at positions 92 to 964 of the family's 1533-position model. The record is from RNAcentral.